This 377-nucleotide ribosomal RNA is filed under the name uncultured bacterium. RNAcentral's name for it is "bacterial SSU rRNA". It matches the Rfam family "Bacterial small subunit ribosomal RNA", at positions 523 to 898 of the family's 1533-position model. The record is from RNAcentral.
AUACGUAGGGGGCGAGCGUUGUCCGGAAUUAUUGGGCGUAAAGCGCGCGCAGGCGGUUCCUUAAGUCUGAUGUGAAAGCCCGCGGCUUAACCGCGGAGGGUCAUUGGAAACUGGGGAACUUGAGUGCAGAAGAGGAGAGUGGAAUUCCAUGUGUAGCGGUGAAAUGCGUAGAGAUAUGGAGGAACACCAGUGGCGAAGGCGGCUCUCUGGUCUGUAACUGACGCUGAGGCGCGAAAGCGUGGGGAGCAAACAGGAUUAGAUACCCUGGUAGUCCACGCCGUAAACGAUGAGUGCUAAGUGUUAGAGGGUUUCCACCCUUUAGUGCUGCAGCUAACGCAUUAAGCACUCCGCCUGGGGAGUACGGCCGCAAGGCUGAA